This 98-nucleotide small RNA is filed under the name Crocodylus porosus (Australian saltwater crocodile). RNAcentral describes it as "TUC338 (ENSCPRG00005018225.1)". The record is from RNAcentral. Lineage: Eukaryota; Metazoa; Chordata; Crocodylia; Crocodylidae.
CACAAAUGUGAUAUAACACAGGUUGUAACAGCGCAAGAUUUCCCCAAUCUGUCCUGCCAAUGUGGCUCAACCCUUCACUUGAGAGACCCCUUCUCAGC